This 306-nucleotide ribosomal RNA is filed under the name Triticum aestivum (bread wheat). RNAcentral describes it as "partial small subunit ribosomal RNA". Lineage: Eukaryota; Viridiplantae; Streptophyta; Magnoliopsida; Poales; Poaceae. The record is from RNAcentral.
AUGACUGAAAAAGGCCUGAGCACAGAAGGAACUUGUGAGAGGUUUAUGUGGAUGAAAAAAAAUGUGUGCUUGAACCAGUCUGUCAAAGUAGAAAUAUACAACCUACAGCUUCUGCAACCCAAAAUCCACACAAUAAUGGAAAUAUCGACUGGGAUGAAUAGUAGAAAAGGGGAGCAUCAGUUACCAUUACUUCUUUGCCACCAUCAAGUAACACAGAAUAAAUAUUUGCAUAUAGUUGGCUCUGUGGUUCAGGAAGUAUCCUAUUGUAAAGCCCAAGCAGAGUUUUUGCUUGAUUCUGCAAAGUGA